AGUCUAGCCCCUGGUAGUAGGACAACACAGUGAGAACAGAUCAACUAUAGUUGUCAUCAAGGUUGGGGUAUGUCUGAGUUAGAGUGUAAGUCGGACGGACGCACGGGUGGUGGCGGCAAUAAACGAAAUUAUUAGCCGCCAGUGAUAUCUUUUAUUUAUUAUCCGUCUCGUCUCCCGGCCAAGACUCUACAUUGGCGACGAGGAGAAACUAAAAAAGUGAUUGAGUAGUGCUAGUUUUAAGCCGCAGGAUUGGAUCAAAUUUGGUAAGGUGUUGUGUAUUUUUUUUUCGUUGGCCGGAAGAGGAGGAGAGGCUAACACAAGGAGAGAGAGAGAGAGAAGUGUGUGUGUGUGUGGGUGUGAGAAUGCGUAUUGAAUGUCUGUGAAACAAGGAUACUACAAACGUAGGUGAGAGUCACUAAGGACACUAAUAUUGCGGUAGGUUGAAACCGGGUUUUUUCUGGACUUUUUGUGGAGGUUCGAAAGCCGCACCUCGGCAAACUUUCCGUACAGCGCUUCCACUGUAGACUUUUUGGUGUUUACCAACUGUACCGUGACGGGGAUUCACGCAAUUUGUGUUGUUGUGUGGUUGAUGGUGCUACCCAAAUUGGAGUGGUGGCACAUUCGACGAAAUUGAUUAAUUUUUGGGUAACUAUCGACGGCAAUGCAUUUGGGAGUGUUUCUUAUCUGAUUGCUGAUGUUAAGGUCGUAUUUCGUGGCUGUCCAUUUGUCAUGAAGCAUUAUUUAUUUUUAAGUGUUAGUCUUUUAUUUUUGUUGGUGUUAGUUUUUAUUUCCGGCAGCUGUAACCGGCGCGGUCAUUCGCUUCGCUGCCCAGUUUCUAUUAGUUUUGUUCGAUUUCUAAGAACUCAGUUAAUUAUAUUUUAGAAUCAAGUUGAAAUAUAGCAGAAUCUUGUUUAACGUGGAGAUAAGUUAAUCGUUGUGAGGAUGUUUUGAUUGGAUGAACAGACUUUAACAUUUUGGGUUAGGUGAAGUAAUGAUGGUUAAGUCAUUAAAAUAAGUAGUAUUGGUUGAGUCUGUAGUUUAGCUGUAACGAGAAGUGACCAAUACAUUUUGACGAUUACAGAGGUUUAACUCAGUCACGAAAUACUUUACUGCGCUGAUUCUGUCAGCAUACUGCUAGAAAAGUGACACAUUUCAGCUAGAAUGAUGUUAGAAUGUUCAGCUUUGUUAGAACCCUGAUAAAAAGUCGUAGAGGAUCAUGUAUUGCUUUGUGAAACUUCAUAGAGUUAUCUACAUAUACAUAUACUGCGGUUGAGGUUAAAUUUUGUACCGGCCAGAAAAAGAACUAAACUCUAUUAGGUGACACGCAAGGGUAAAAUUGAAAUGUGACCAAAGGAUAUUUACUAGUUUAUUCAAUGAACUGACAUUACUGUUAACGAAGGAAAAUUAAGUGAUCGUGUGGCAAGAGAAUGAUGAGGUGCUAUGUGAGUGAUUAAAGCAGAGUAUCAAUCGAUAAAACGAAUGGAUAAUAAGUGUAGUGCUUAUAUUAUAAUGAGAUUGCUGUCUAUAGACUACAUCAAAAAUAGGGGAGGCUUAGUGCCGGGGGAUGGCUAAGUGCCGGUGGGAUGGCUUAGUGCCGGGGGAUGGCUUAGUGCCGGUGGGAUGGCUUAGUGCCGGGGGAUGGCUUAGUGCCGAUGGGAUGGCUUAGUGCCGAUGGGAUGGCUUAGUGCCGGAGGAUGGCUUAGUGCCGGGGGAUGGCUUAGUGCCGGGGGAGGCUUAGUGCCGGGGGAGGUUUAGUGCCGGAGGAUGGCUUAGUGCCGGAGGAUGGCUUAGUGCCGGGGGAUGGCUUAGUGCCGAUGGGAUGGCUUAGUGCCGGAGGAUGGCUUAGUCCCGGAGGAUGGCUUAGUGCUGGGGGAGGCACUAGGUGGGAUGGCUUGUGAACGUCCACUAAUGCCUGGUGGAGAGAUGGCUUGUGGAUGUUCACUGGGAAGCCUGGUAAAGAUGAGGCUCGUAGAUGUUCGCUCAUGCCUGGCGUAGAGAUGGCUUGUGAAUGUCUACUGUAAGGCCUGAUGUGGGAGAAGCUUGUGAACGUUCGCUAAUGCCUGGUGGAGAGAUGGAUUGUGGAUGUUCACUGGGAAGCCUGGUAAAGAGGAGGCUUGUAGAUGUUCGCUCAUGCCUGGCGUAGAGAUGGCUUGUGAAUGUCUACUGUAAGGCCUGAUGUGGGAGAGGAUUGUGAACGUUCGCUAAUGCCUGGUAGAGAGAUGGCUUGUGAAUGUUCACUGGGAAGCCUGGUAAAGAGGAGGCUUGUAGAUGUUCGCUCAUGCCUGGCGUAGAGAUGGCUUGUGAAUGUCUACUGUAAGGCCUAUUGUGGGAGAAGCUUGUGAACGUUCGCUAAUGCCUGGUGGAGAGAUGGCUUGUGGAUGUUCACUGGGAAGCCUGGUAAAGAGGAGGCUUGUAGAUGUUCGCUCAUGCCUGGCGUAGAGAUGGCUUGUGAAUGACUACUGUAAGGCCUGAUGUGGGAGAAGCUUGUGAACGUUCGCUAAUGCCUGGUGGAGAGAUGGCUUGUGAAUGUUCACUGGGAAGCCUGGUAAAGAGGAGGCUUGUAGAUGUUCGCUCAUGCCUGGCGUAGAGAUGGCUUGUGAAUGACUACUGUAAGGCCUAAUGUGGGAGAAGAUUGUGAACGUCCGCUAAUGCCUGGUGGAGAGAUGGCUUGUGGAUGUUCACUGGAAAGUCUGGUGAAGAUGAGGCUUGUAGAUUUUCGUCCAUGCCUGGCGUAUAGAUGGCUGGUGAGUAUCUACUAUAAAGCCUGAGGGGGAAGGGACUUGUUGAGGUCCACUAAAUGCCUAGCGGAUAGACGUCUGUUCACUGUAAAGGUUUGGAAAAAGAGUGGACUUAGUGUGUGUACACAACGUAUCAAACUAGGACAAGUGCCGAUUAUACAUAAGAUGAGUGGUUAAAUUAAAGGAAGAUAGUGUGCGUGACAUGAAAAUAAUCAAGUGUUCUGUAUCGUUGAUUGGAGAUACCAAAAUCGCAGCAAUGAGAAGAAUUUGACAAACAAAAGUGUUUGCAUUGAAUUGAGUUACUAGAAAGGAAGAUAUUUUCGAAAAAUGAGACAAAAGAGUGCAGACGGUAGAAAUACAAGCAAAUGUGCAGAUUGGUACCAAAAAUGGAAUGAACAAGUGAUGUCGAUAAAGGAACUAUUGUUUUGCUGUAUACCGAAGAAGAUUCAUUGAAUGCUCGGUUCCAAAGAAGGCGAGUUCUUUACAACAUAGUUUGAGCGGCUAGGUGGAAUAUAAGUCAACGUUUUAGCUUCGGGCAUGAGCUCUAGUGAUCUUAUUUUAUGUUUUCGAGAAAAUAUUCCUGAAUCCCGACAGACAUUAGUUCUAGGGGUUAAUCACUUCGUAUAUACUGCAUACACGCAUAAUAAUCACACAAUAUGCUUAGGCUAUCCGGAACCCGUGGUGUAGGGGUAAGCGUGAUUGCCUCUCAUCCAGUCGGCCUGGGUUCGAUCCCAGAAGGUUCCGGUGGCAUUUUUUGAGACGAGAUUUGCUGAUCGCGGUUUUCGUCGAACGGAGAAGUAAAUGUUGGCCCGGUCUAACCUAGAAGUAAGGUCGAUAUCUCAGUCCAGGUAUAGGAGUCGUCCACCUGGGUCCUGUCUCGGUGGAGUCGUUAGGCAUUUGUACUACCAAUCCAAAGGUCGUCAGUUCGAAUUCCGGGGUGGAUGGAAGCUAAGGCGUAAAAAGAGGUUUGCAAUUGCCUCAACAAUCAUGCCUUCGGACACUUAGUUUCUAGUAGGAAUCUCGCAAUCGAGAACGCCGAGGCAAUGCUUAAGAGUGAAUAAUUUUGAUUUUUUUUAUGCCUAGGCUGCAUGCCGUAUAAACUCUAAUAUUGGCAUCACAUUGGUUCAACAUUAGCAGUGAUUUGCCUUUUGCAGGGGUUUGGCUUAUAUGGACUAUAAGCGUUGGUUAUCAGCGGCUUUAAAAAAAAUGUUUUUAUUUGAUAGAUUGAUGGAGGGGGCAUCUGGCGGGAGAGCGGUUGGGACUCCACGACCUAGACGUUUUGGAUGUGAUCAGGAAUUAACAAUGACAUACGAAUCAAUAUCGUCGAUUGAAGGAGGAGCAAACAUCAACCGUUCACAAAUAUUAUGGAAUAAUAAUAAUUUUAAUAUUUUGAUGUCAAUACAAAAAGAAUAAAAUCCACCUUUGCGUUCAGAUCCAGGUAGUGUUAGGAUGAUUGUAUAUUCAGAUCGAGAUUCAGAUUUAAAUGUAAAAUAAGUAUUACGUCAAACACUAUUCUGAAGUAAGGGGGGGAUGUCAGAGUC
Molecule: long non-coding RNA, 4279 nt
Organism: Culex pipiens pallens (northern house mosquito)
Lineage: Eukaryota; Metazoa; Arthropoda; Insecta; Diptera; Culicidae
Exons: 2
Source: RefSeq, a predicted model, not a curated record